ACCAACCGUUUACAAUUAUAACAUGCUAUGUGCAAUUAUCUAAUAACCCUUCCACAUUCUUUCGACAUGAUUUUUGUAUGCAAAUUAUAUUUCACUAUGCAUUAUGACUUGAUGAGUAUUUAUAAAGGAAUCUAGUCCUUUUUUAUCUUUUCUUCCGUGAUGUGUUGGGGUUGAAUGUUUAGAAGGGCUUUCAAAUGCUUCAAUUUGCCUAGCAAGUUUGAUCUUUUCAGUUCUGAUAUCUACUAGAUAUAAUUGUUUAUAUUCUUCAGCUAAUAGUUUUGGCCGGAACAUGUAAAUGCUUUUAUACAUUGAUUCCUACGUUAUUAUUAAAGAACAAUUUGAGAUUGAGUGCCAAUCUCUUAUUCUUGCUGUUGGUUCAUUAGUUUCUUUAUUUUUCAAGUCUUGUUUAAGAAAAGAGAAGCACAAGGAGUAUCGACAGAUUUGAAAAAAGAAGAAGAGAUAAGUAUGAAAGUAUUGCUUGAAGGAAGCUACUAUAACUCAUGGUUUGCCAAAUGCUACCUUGGGAAAUUGAUGUGACGAGAUGUUCUUUAUUUUGAUUGCUUGAAUUAGGUGAGAAGUCACUCUUCUUCAAAAAAGGCAAACCAGUGGGUGUGCUAAAAAUUUGGUGGCUCAUCAACACAUUGUUGGUCGAUAGUAGAAUUUUGGGGGUCCAUCAUAAAUCUAUGGACUGAUAUGCUGAUUUAAUAGCGACUAAGCAUUAGUCAGUAGCUUAACCAAAGUAGAAACCAAAAGCAUCAGGAUUCAAUACUUUAAAUUCCGAUCAUGUCACCUAAUUAACUGGAUCAAUGUCGGGAUGAUUUAUGUGGGUAACCUUUGAAUAUAAAGCUGGACAGGUUUAGGUUUCUUCUAGAUUUUUCUAAUUUACUGGUGUAUCUUAUCUUGUUUGUUGAUCCUAUGUAAAUUUGUUCUUUGGCUAGACUGAUGGUUACGUUGGAUUAUCAUUUGACUUGUUAGGCUAAACAUGAGUUUAGUGCAUAUGUGAGAGCACAGGCUGAUACUUUUGUCAGAACAGUAUUAAUAUAAGUCAAGAUUCCUGGUUAAGAUGAAAGCUAGUCAAAUUUAACUCAAGUAAAUUGAUAUCAGGAUUUUGAAGCUUGAUGGAAUUUGGACACACUACAUGCUGAUUAAUGUCUUCCAAAUGCAACCUUGGGAAGUGGCCAUGGAGUCGAAUCUGGAAAACACAAGUUCAUUUUCAGUUGCUUGUUUUCCAUGGUUGGUAGACAAGGAAGCAUGCCUCAGACAAGACAAACUUCAGAGAAGGGGCCUUGCUAUUUGUAGCAGUUGCUAUUUCUAUUGAAAUGAAACAGAAGGUUGAUUGGUGUGUUUUGUUUGUGAGGAUAUCAUUAAAGCGUUUCUAAUUGACAUUUUCUGGAGCAAUUGUGAUUUAGAGAACAUCUAAAGUCGAUCAUGAAGAAUGCUAACUGAUACAUCAUUGCCUUCUUGAUGAAGUUUUGGUUUCAAAAUAAAAUCUUCAUCUAAAGAUUUAAUUUCAUGUGAAAAAGAAACGAAGGUCAGUUAGUUUUAUAUUCUAUUUUUAUUAGUUUUGUUUAUACCUAAACCAAAUAUGAGGAUUCAAAAAAAAAAAAUCUUUCUUCAAUUAUCUCCUCCUUUUUCUUUUUUCUUCCUUUGUUUUCAAAUAGAGGGUAAAGUUUCUAUAUCUAUAAAUAAAUAUUUUUUGCUAUGAAUUUUGGUAAAUUUUAUUGUGCCUUGCGGAGAAACACUUUUUUUUUUUAAGUGUGGGGAGAGUGCUAUGUGAAGAAUUUGACAUAUGUUGCAUCGUAUCAUGCAUUUUCUUACUUCUUACACCCUAUGCAUGGUUGUAAUUGAUAUUACAAUAUUGUGAAGAUCUAUUACUAUUAUAUUUAUCUAACAAAUUUUUA
This is a long non-coding RNA of Lycium barbarum (goji berry), 1901 nucleotides long. RefSeq lists it as uncharacterized. The record is from RefSeq and is a predicted model, not a curated record. The transcript is spliced from 2 exons. NCBI's taxonomy places the organism in Eukaryota, Viridiplantae, Streptophyta, Magnoliopsida, Solanales, Solanaceae.